This 253-nucleotide ribosomal RNA is filed under the name uncultured bacterium. RNAcentral's name for it is "partial 16S ribosomal RNA". It matches the Rfam family "Bacterial small subunit ribosomal RNA", at positions 524 to 776 of the family's 1533-position model. The record is from RNAcentral.
UACGAGGGGGGCAAGCGUUGUUCGGAAUUAUUGGGCGUAAAGGGUGCGUAGGCGGUUUUGUAAGUCUUGUGUGAAAGCCCCGAGCUCAACUUGGGAAUGGCAUUGGAAACUGGCGGGCUGGAGUGUGGCAGAGGGGGGUGGAAUUCCACGUGUAGCAGUGAAAUGCGUAGAGAUGUGGAGGAACACCGAUGGCGAAGGCAGCCCCCUGGGCCAACACUGACGCUCAGGCACGAAAGCGUGGGGAGCAAACAGG